RNAcentral lists this transfer RNA (77 nucleotides) under Clostridiales bacterium. Its description in RNAcentral is "tRNA-Gln". It matches the Rfam family "tRNA". Rfam says of the family: Transfer RNA (tRNA) molecules are approximately 80 nucleotides in length. Their secondary structure includes four short double-helical elements and three loops (D, anti-codon, and T loops). Lineage: Bacteria; Bacillati; Bacillota; Clostridia; Eubacteriales. The record is from RNAcentral.
AGGGAUAUAGCCAAGCUGGUUAAGGCACAGGACUUUGACUCCUGCAUCCGCUGGUUCAAAUCCAGCUAUCCCUGCCA